AUUGAACGCUGGCGGCAGGCCUAACACAUGCAAGUCGAGCGGAGCGGCGGACGGGUGAGUAAUGCCUAGGAAUCUGCCCGGUCGCGGGGGAUAACGCCCGGAAACGGGCGCUAAUACCGCAUACUAUCCAAUGAGCCUAGGUCGGAUUAGCUAGCUGGUGGGGUAAAGGCCUACCAAGGCGACGAUCCGUAACUGGUCUGAGGGGAUGAUCAGUCACGCUGGGACUGGGACGCGGUCCAGAAUCCGACGGGAGGCACGGGUGGCGAAUCUUCGACAAGUGGCAGAAGCCUUAUCCGGCCAUGCCGCGUGUGUGAAAAAGAUCUUCGUAUUGUAGAGCACUUUAAGUUUGGAAGCGUUACCAACAGAAUAAGCACCGGCUAACUUCGUGCCAGCAGCCGCGGUAAUAC
RNAcentral lists this ribosomal RNA (407 nucleotides) under uncultured bacterium. RNAcentral's name for it is "partial 16S ribosomal RNA". It matches the Rfam family "Bacterial small subunit ribosomal RNA", at positions 30 to 526 of the family's 1533-position model. The record is from RNAcentral.